This 361-nucleotide long non-coding RNA is filed under the name Mytilus galloprovincialis (Mediterranean mussel). The record is from RNAcentral. Lineage: Eukaryota; Metazoa; Mollusca; Bivalvia; Mytilida; Mytilidae.
GAUCACCCUCUGGCCUCCGGCCAUUGGGGUGAUUUUACACUGACACACCGCGUCCUCGUGGGAUAACUAUUAAGUACUGUACCGUGUUUAUUAAAACUAAGUCCAUAAUGGCAUUUCAAUUUGUGCCUGUUGCUUGAUUUUCAUUUUAUCUCUCCUUAAAAAAUAUCUAAAAAUAAAAGUGUGUAUGCCCACCUUGCUAUGAAAAAGUAUUGAUUAUACUUGUUUCGUCACUUUUAUAAUUUUGUAAAGAAUUUUUAGCAUGACAGCUCCGACAGUUUUUAUGAAAUCUCCUGAAAGAUGCUAAUGUCCAACAUCACAACUUUUACUGUGUUAAGGUAAGAAAUGCAGACUAAUUAACAGC